RNA transcript from Poecilia latipinna (sailfin molly), 2294 nucleotides. It is a transcript of the gene named gap junction protein alpha 10 b, with no coding region annotated. Lineage: Eukaryota; Metazoa; Chordata; Actinopteri; Cyprinodontiformes; Poeciliidae. The record is from RefSeq and is a predicted model, not a curated record. The transcript has 4 exons.
AGUCUUCAAGGGACAGUUAAUGAGUCCUGAUGUUGCUGCAGAUGGAUCAUCUUUUUUGUAAGAUCUUUAUGAUCAAAUACACAAAGCAAGGGCUCUAGAAGACUGCUACUAAUAAUGUGAGAGAAGAUGGGAGACUGGAACUUGUUGGGGAGCAUCUUAGAAGAGGUCCACAUUCAUUCGACUAUUGUGGGGAAAAUCUGGCUCACUAUCCUCUUUAUCUUCCGGAUGCUUGUACUUGGCGUUGCAGCAGAGGAUGUUUGGGACGAUGAGCAAAGUGAGUUUGUCUGCAACACAGAGCAGCCAGGCUGCAAGACUGUCUGCUAUGACCAGGCAUUCCCUAUCUCCCUCAUACGCUACUGGGUCCUGCAGAUCAUCUUUGUGUCCUCUCCCUCACUGGUCUACAUGGGCCAUGCUCUGUAUCGCCUGAGAACCCUUGAAAAAGAGAGGCACAGAAAAAAGGCCUGCCUGAAGGCAGAGCUGGAGGGGGCAGAUACUGACCAAGAGGACCACAAGAGAAUCGAGCGGGAGCUCAGGAAGUUAGACGAACAGAAGAAAGUCAGGAAAGCUCCGCUCAGAGGAUCAUUGCUGCGCACAUAUGUUUUUCAUAUCCUGACCAGGUCUGUGGUGGAGGUGGGUUUCAUCAUUGGUCAGUGUGCUCUUUUUGGCAUUGGAUUAUCUCCUCUGUACAAGUGUGAGAGACUGCCGUGCCCCAACAGUGUUGACUGUUUUGUGUCAAGGCCUACAGAGAAAAAUAUUUUUAUGGUGUUCAUGCUUGUCAUUGCCGGAGUGUCUUUAUUUCUCAACCUUCUGGAGAUUUUCCAUCUGGGUGUGAAGAAGAUCAAGCAAAUCCUUUAUGGAUACAAAUAUGGAGAUGAUGACAGUGUCUGCAGGUCAAAGAAAAAUUCUAUAGUGCAACAGAUUUGUGUUCUGACAAACUCCUCACCACAAAGGCUGAUCCAGCUGACUCAAGUUGCCAAUCCUGUUUCAUCAGAUCCUUACAAGGAUGCUCAAAGAGAUGUGCUGCCUUGUAACUUGGUUCCACUAGGUUGCCAGAACACAGAAGGCAUGGACAUCUCACAGCAGCAUCCUGGACAGACGUUCCGGCCGAGCCAAGGUGACAUCCAGCAUUUGAGGCAACUGGGGGCUGUGGAGCGGCGGCACACUCUGGAGAAUAGAAAACCGUCCUUCAGCAGCGAUGAGUCAAACGGACCUCAUUGCUCUGGUAAACCUCACUUUGCAGGACCGCGAGCAACGCUGGUGGCCAGCCAUAUUGAGAUCCCAGCUGCCCUGAGGAUCCCUCAGAGGAAGCAGAGUAAAGUCAGUGUCUGCAAGGAACUCAGCGACAUGAGUGAUUCUCCAGAGAGCGACCACUAUCCCACAGCCAGGAAGUGCAGCUUUAUGUCCCGAGGACUGUCAGAGGCCAAGCUCGCCAGUCCGUCUGACAGCGGCGCCUCUCAGAGUGGAACAGAUACCGAAGCCCAGCACUUCAACCAGGGGGAAAGCCCAGUGAUGACCCCACCACCCCCCACCUCUGGGAGGAGGAUGUCCAUGAGCAUGAUUCUGGAGUUGUCUUCAAUCAUGAAGAAGUGAACCAGAAACAUCCAUACUGGCGUGAGGCCAGAGGCACCGAGGACUUCUGUAGACAUAAACACUCACAUCAUGUUUCACCUCAUUUCUAGUUUCAGUGUAACUUUCGCUAUCUGAUGGUAUUCACUCAUACACUUAGAGUUUCUGUGUUUAGGUUAGUGGAUCCAGUCACUGGUUCAUUUGUGUCAAUUCAUGCAUGGCUGGACAAAAAAGAGGGGACAUUAUCACCAGCUACUGACUGUGCAUUAGUCCAGUGUUUCCCAACCCUGGUCCUCAAGGCACAUUGCCCUGCAUGUUUUAGGUGUUUCCUUGCUUCGGCACAGGUGAUUUCAAUUAGCAGGUGUUUGGUGAACUGCAAUCAGGUGAAAGAGGUACAUUAAAGCAGGGAAAUUUCUAAAACAUGCAGGACAGUGAGCCUUGAGGACCAAGGUUGGGAAACACUCAACCUUAACUUCAUAGUACUGAACAACUUAUUGUUGUAUCAUUAAAUAAUUUUUAUUUGUCAGGUAUUAGAAAACAUUAACCAGCAUGAGGUGUGUUAUAACAUUUAGCUGAUAUAUUGUAUGUUUUAGUUAUUUUCAUUUAGGUAAGUGGGAAUGUCCUUCUAACUUAAUACAAAUAUGUAUAUCAUAAUCUAAUCUCAGUACCUCUGGGGCUCUAUGACGCCUCAGAGGUUCAGAGAAUAUUUGGGAGCAAACAGCAUCAUG